GAUGAACGCUGGCGGCGUGCCUAAUACAUGCAAGUCGAGCGAACGGACGAGAAGCUUGCUUCUCUGAUGUUAGCGGCGGACGGGUGAGUAACACGUGGAUAACCUACCUAUAAGACUGGGAUAACUUCGGGAAACCGGAGCUAAUACCGGAUGAUAUUUUGAACCGCAUGGUUCAAAAGUGAAAGACGGUCUUGCUGUCACUUAUAGAUGGAUCCGCGCUGCAUUAGCUAGUUGGUAAGGUAAUGGCUUACCAAGGCAACGAUGCAUAGCCGACCUGAGAGGGUGAUCGGCCACACUGGAACUGAGACACGGUCCAGACUCCUACGGGAGGCAGCAGUAGGGAAUCUUCCGCAAUGGGCGAAAGCCUGACGGAGCAACGCCGCGUGAGUGAUGAAGGUCUUCGGAUCGUAAAACUCUGUUAUUAGGGAAGAACAUAUGUGUAAGUAACUGUGCACAUCUUGACGGUACCCAAUCAGAAAGCCACGGCUAACUACGUG
This 497-nucleotide ribosomal RNA is filed under the name uncultured bacterium. RNAcentral's name for it is "partial 16S ribosomal RNA". It matches the Rfam family "Bacterial small subunit ribosomal RNA", at positions 28 to 507 of the family's 1533-position model. The record is from RNAcentral.